RNAcentral lists this long non-coding RNA (969 nucleotides) under Cyanistes caeruleus (blue tit). RNAcentral's name for it is "lncRNA (ENSCCEG00000000067.1)". Lineage: Eukaryota; Metazoa; Chordata; Aves; Passeriformes; Paridae. The record is from RNAcentral.
GUCAAUAUCAUGUGUAAAAUGUUAGAGCAGAGCAUUUUUUCUGUUGCUUCUGGUCUGGAACAGCCUGCUGCUAUUCCUUCCUGGAACCCAUUAGCCCAUGUUUUCAUCCAGCCUUCACCUUCCACUUCAAGCUCCCUCCUCCCCCAUUUCCAUGGCUCAUGCUCCCUGUGACCACAGACACACUGCUGACAGUACCUACCCUCUCCUUUCACCUUGCAGAAGUCACCUGAACGUCUGACUUGUCUGAGUACUUCUCAGAGAUCAGAACUUUAAAAAGGCAUGGGUUACUAAAUGCAAAUAUUUGCUCGGGUAAGAAACGCUGUCUGUCUGUGCACGUGCGGAGCACAUUCCUUCCCACCUUCAGACUCCAUUUCUGUGUGUGAGGUGAGAGCCUCAGGACCUCUCCCAGCAUCCAGCAGAACGGGGACUGCCAGCUGGGCUCUGGGAAGGGUUGGUCCAGGGAGGCAGCCCAGAUCCCAGACUCACAGAUGCUCACCAUGCCUCCUGUGACAAGCGCUCAGGGUGGGCCUGUGACAUGCACCGGGCCCAGGUGGCUCCCCAGGCCCUGCCACGGGCCCCUCGAAACCACCCGUCCCCUUGUCACCUGCUGGGACAGGGCUGUGUGGGGUGGCCUAUGGGAUCCACAGACACUGACACAUUCUGGACACACAGGCAGUGGCACUCCCAAGGAGGGGAAUCAUGUUGCCAUAAGAUGGACUGUAACAGGAAUAGUUGAGAGCCAUUCCACACCCAGGAAGUUAGAAUGCUCUUUCAGGAGAUUAAAACUACCUGGAGCUCCUUCACUUUGAUGCCACCGUGGUCUGUGAUGAGCAGUGCAGCAUAAGCUGCAGAUUUAGUAAAUGGAGGGAAAUGGAAGAGGAACCACAGGCAUAAAAGAAAAGCAAAAAAAGAUUUAUUGCUAGUCAAGAGGCGUACUAGAAAGCAAUAAAUGAAAUGACAUUCUGUACA